GGCGAGGUAGCUCAAGUGGCAGAGCAGCCGGCUCAUAAUCGGCGGGUUGUGGGUUCGAGUCCCACCCUCGCCACCU
This 76-nucleotide transfer RNA is filed under the name Chloroflexota bacterium. RNAcentral's name for it is "Chloroflexi bacterium (hot springs metagenome) tRNA-Met". It matches the Rfam family "tRNA". Rfam says of the family: Transfer RNA (tRNA) molecules are approximately 80 nucleotides in length. Their secondary structure includes four short double-helical elements and three loops (D, anti-codon, and T loops). Further hydrogen bonds mediate the characteristic L-shaped molecular structure. tRNAs have two regions of fundamental functional importance: the anti-codon, which is responsible for specific mRNA codon recognition, and the 3' end, to which the tRNAs corresponding amino acid is attached (by aminoacyl-tRNA synthetases). tRNAs cope with the degeneracy of the genetic code in two manners: having more than one tRNA (with a specific anti-codon) for a particular amino acid; and 'wobble' base-pairing, i.e. permitting non-standard base-pairing at the 3rd anti-codon position. Lineage: Bacteria; Bacillati; Chloroflexota. The record is from RNAcentral.